Non-coding RNA from Sclerotinia nivalis, 85 nucleotides. NCBI's taxonomy places the organism in Eukaryota, Fungi, Ascomycota, Leotiomycetes, Helotiales, Sclerotiniaceae. The record is from the annotation of a GenBank genome assembly.
GCCCGUUUGGCUUAGCGGUAAAGCGCAUCACUAGUACCUAUACCUACAAAUGAUGAGAUCCUAGGUUCGAUUCCUAGAACGGGCA